GCCGGGGUGGCGGAAGUGGUAGACGCAGGGGACUUAAAAUCCCCUGGGGGAAACCCCGUGCGGGUUCGAGUCCCGCCCCCGGCA
This 84-nucleotide transfer RNA is filed under the name Caldifarciminota bacterium. Its description in RNAcentral is "tRNA-Leu". It matches the Rfam family "tRNA". Rfam says of the family: Transfer RNA (tRNA) molecules are approximately 80 nucleotides in length. Their secondary structure includes four short double-helical elements and three loops (D, anti-codon, and T loops). The record is from RNAcentral. Lineage: Bacteria; Pseudomonadati; Caldifarciminota. RNAcentral also lists the same sequence under 1 other name.